This is a long non-coding RNA of Thamnophis elegans (Western terrestrial garter snake), 1962 nucleotides long. RefSeq lists it as uncharacterized. The record is from RefSeq and is a predicted model, not a curated record. NCBI's taxonomy places the organism in Eukaryota, Metazoa, Chordata, Lepidosauria, Squamata, Natricidae. The transcript is spliced from 3 exons.
CUUACCCUCCUGAUCAUGUUGAUGACCUUGCUGGAGAAAGAUUUUGCUUUUCAAACGAAGGACAGCAUACAGAACCCUUGCGAAAUUACGACUACGCUACCCUGAAUGUUCAAACGCAUGGAAGGUUGAACUAAAAUUGUCUUUAUUAGAUGACUGAAAGGUACUUCUUGAGAUAUGCAAAUCUUCAACUGUGGAGCCCACUUGCAACUGUUGCUCUUUUAAGCUAUUUUUAAUCCAGGUUGUAUUUUAAGAAUGUUCUAAAUCUGUCCCUAGCUGUUACAUGAAUAUUAAUAAAAGAAUAAUUAUUCUUUUAUAUUAAUGCAUGGCAAAGGAAGGAAGGAAAGAAGGAAAGAAGGAGGGAGGGAAGACAGAAGGAAGGAAGGAAGGAAGGAAGGAAGGAAGGAACUCCAGCUUUAAAUAGAAGAUACUUUUAACUAACUAUGGCUAAAUAGAGAAGUGUCUGGCUGCAAAUUUAAAUGCCUUACAAUUUGUAAUUACUGGCAGUAGGGCCCUUGGCUUUCCUUAUAGCCACCAAGGGACAAAACAUCCAUUGGAAGGCACUUGGAGACAAAGACAAGGGUUAGAAAUUGGAGAGAAUGGAUAGGCUGCCUCCUCGGUGUAGGUACAUACAGCAACUUGGCACAUGCUUCUGCCCUGUUGUUAUUGUUAUCUUGCACUGCAUUUUCUAUACAUCAAAACCUUCUUUCUGCAAGUCAUCCUGGCCAAAGUCUCUAAGCAGGCUGAGGAAUUCUGGAAGUCGAAGUCAAAAUAUGUCAUCUUAAAGUCGCCAAAAUGUUUGUUCCAUUUUGCAUUCUUCAGGACAAAUGCUGCCUUUCUUUUCACAAAGUCUUCUCUGAAACAGAACUGCUUAGAAAACUGUGUGAAAUUGUUUAGCCAGAUCUCCCAACUUUAUCACUUUGGCACCUCCAGAACUCUUUGUAAAUCGGGGAGUGCCAUCUUCUGGUUAGAUAUUAAACUGCAGGAGAAAUAAAAUGGGUUCCCUAGAGAAUAAAUUCAGAGCUGAAUUUAUGCCAAAGUCCCUUUUGUUUGCGAUGCUCCAUUGUGCUGCUACUCACACACACACCAACACACAUACAAACACACACACAAUUGUGGCUUUCUUCUCACAUGUCCAUGACUACAAUGCAGUAUCCUCUGUUGUAACAAAAAAAAAAAACCCACCCUACAUCAAUGCAUAGCAUUGUAAUUGUGGGAGAAGUUGGAGGAGUAUAAACGGUUCCUUGUACUUUAUCAUCUGUGUUUAUAGCAGAAUCCACAUUGAAAGCCACAAGUACAACCCCAUGCAAUGUGGAAGGUCUCACGGACCAUUUCAAACAUUUCUUAAAAUAAAGCUUCUCUAAAUGCAUGUGCUGUUUUCCAUAUUGGCUUUAAAAUAACAAAACUGAAUUUUUAUUCACAGCUGUGUCUAUCUAAUCAUCCCUCCCUUUCCAUAAUUGAAGGAGAGGAAAUGGAAGACAACCAUGAAUUCCUCGCUUGCAAAUGCUUGGCUACUCCAGCAAUAAAAAAAAGUGAAGUGAACAAAAUUCCUGAAACUCCCAUGGCACCAAACUGGUGGAUUUAAUGAAAUGUCUCCAGCAAUGGUAGGUUCCGAACCGGUUUACUACCGGUUUGCUGAGCGCGCGGGCCAGACACAUGCUGCGUGUGGGUGCACAACUGAACAAAAAUUAGUCAGAAAUAAAACGGAAAACAGCUGAGGAGUGACAAUUCAAGCUGCUGCCCCAGAUCAGCUGCGUUUCGGAAGCUGGAAUAGAGUUUGCUGUUUAGUUGGAUGAAAGAGUGAGUGUUGCUGAGAAAAAGAAGGCCUUUGUAAUCAGAACAUCAUCAUCUGAGAUUUGAGAGGAAUAGAUAUUUAAGGUAUGGUAGAGCUAGGGUUAAUACAUAUUUUAAAAACCAUUAUAGAUAGUCCUUGACUUACAAUCAGUGAUGUGCGGUGAGGUUUAU